Schistosoma rodhaini is the source of this 46-nucleotide non-coding RNA. The record is from Rfam. Lineage: Eukaryota; Metazoa; Platyhelminthes; Trematoda; Strigeidida; Schistosomatidae.
AGACUGCUGAGGAGUCCCAUAAUAGGACGAAACGGCCGUCCAGUGC